This 410-nucleotide ribosomal RNA is filed under the name uncultured bacterium. RNAcentral's name for it is "bacterial SSU rRNA". It matches the Rfam family "Bacterial small subunit ribosomal RNA", at positions 355 to 776 of the family's 1533-position model. The record is from RNAcentral.
UUGGGAAUAUUGGACAAUGGGCGAAAGCCUGAUCCAGCAAUGCCGCGUGAAUGAUGAAGGCCUUCGGGUCGUAAAGUUCUUUCAGCAGGGACGAAGGGAAACUUGACGGUACCUGCAGAAGAAGCACCGGCUAACUCCGUGCCAGCAGCCGCGGUAAUACGGAGGGUGCAAGCGUUGUUCGGAAUCAUUGGGCGUAAAGCGCGUGUAGGCGGUAACUUAAGUCUGGUGUGAAAGCCCAGGGCUUAACCCUGGAAGUGCAUUGGAUACUGAGCUACUAGAGGGCAGAAGAGGAAAGCGGAAUUCCUGGUGUAGGAGUGAAAUCCGUAGAUAUCAGGAGGAACACCGGUGGCGAAGGCGGCUUUCUGGUCUGUGCCUGACGCUGAGACGCGAAAGCGUGGGGAGCAAACAGG